ACGAACGCUGGCGGCGUGCUUAACACAUGCAAGUCGAACGGAAAGGCCCUGCUUUUGUGGGGUGCUCGAGUGGCGAACGGGUGAGUAACACGUGAGUAACCUGCCCUUGACUUUGGGAUAACUUCAGGAAACUGGGGCUAAUACCGGAUAGGAGCUCCUGCUGCAUGGUGGGGGUUGGAAAGUUUCGGCGGUUGGGGAUGGACUCGCGGCUUAUCAGCUUGUUGGUGGGGUAGUGGCUUACCAAGGCUUUGACGGGUAGCCGGCCUGAGAGGGUGACCGGCAACAUGGGACUGGGGAUAGGCCCAGGACCCUAACGGGAGGAAGCGUGGGGAAUUAUGCCCAAAGGGGCGGAGCCCGGAGGCGCCACGCCGGGGUCCGGAAGACGGGCUUUCGGUUGUAAACCCCCUUCCCCUUUGGCGGAGGCUGAGUGACGGUAAUGGGUAAAGAAGCACCGGCUAACUACGUG
Molecule: ribosomal RNA, 466 nt
Filed under: uncultured bacterium
Lineage: Bacteria
Description: partial 16S ribosomal RNA
Rfam family: Bacterial small subunit ribosomal RNA
Source: RNAcentral